AUGGGAAUAAUGGAGUACAGAAAUGAUAGUGAGUUCAAAGUAAGGCUGAGAGGGAGUAAUGGGCGAGGAGAUGAACCUAGGAGAGCAAAAUUGAGAACUCCAGCUAAAGCAGCUCCUGCCCAGCGGCGAGGACUUCAGCGGCAGCAGCACCUGUGCAUGGGGAGGAACAGCCCCUGGGCGCGCGUAGGAAGCAGCUCGCCUCCACUAGCGGGCGGAGGUGGAGGGCGGGUGGCAGAGCCGCGGAGGCGGAGGUGGAGUGCCGGGGCGAAGGCGGAGGCGGAAGACGCUGAGGAAGAUGACGGACAGAUUCAAAGUUUGAACUGA
Molecule: ribosomal RNA, 324 nt
Filed under: Triticum aestivum (bread wheat)
Lineage: Eukaryota; Viridiplantae; Streptophyta; Magnoliopsida; Poales; Poaceae
Description: partial small subunit ribosomal RNA
Source: RNAcentral